RNAcentral lists this ribosomal RNA (774 nucleotides) under uncultured Neocallimastigales. Its description in RNAcentral is "partial large subunit ribosomal RNA". It matches the Rfam family "Eukaryotic large subunit ribosomal RNA", at positions 24 to 649 of the family's 3401-position model. Lineage: Eukaryota; Fungi; Neocallimastigomycota; Neocallimastigomycetes; Neocallimastigales. The record is from RNAcentral.
UAUCUCUGUAGAGUCUGCAUAUCAAUAAGCGGAGGAAAAGAAACUAACAAGGAUUCCCUUAGUAACGGCGAGUGAAGCGGGAAGAGCUCAAAUUUGAAAUCUUCAAGGUUUUACCUUGACGAAUUGUAGUUUAAAGAAGUGUUUUCUGUUGAAGUUUUGGUAAAAGUUCUUUGGAAUAGGACAUCAUAGAGGGUGAGAAUCCCGUAUUUGACCAUUAUUUUCAGCUGUGUGAUACACUUUCAAAGAGUCGGAUUGUUUGGGAAUGCAGUCCAAAAUGGGUGGUAAAUUUCAUCUAAAGCUAAAUAUUGGCGAGAGACCGAUAGCGAACAAGUACCGUGAGGGAAAGAUGAAAAGAACUUUGAAAAGAGAGUUAAACAGUACGUGAAAUUGUCAAAAGGGAAGCGUUUGACACCAGUGUUGUUUUUCCGAAAAUCAAUUACGAAUGUUUUGUUUUUGAGGAGUUAUGACUUCAUCGGCUUGCUCCUUUCUUUACGAAACUUUCUUAAUGCACUUUUCGGUUAACAAGUCAACAUCAAUUUCUUUUGUUGUAAAAGGUUAAGAGGAAGGUGGCUUUACUUUCGGGUAAAGUGUUUAUAGCCUUUUAACUCUGCAAUCGGAGAGAUUGAGGUCUGCAGCGUAGAUCCUUCGGGGUUAGAUACAUUUGUGCUAAGUUAUAGCUUUUCAUAGACAACUUGUUGACUAUGUUUAGUCUUGUAGCUUACUCGCUUAUGCUAUUUUACCUACGCUUAGGAUGUUGAGUAGCGACAUACGCAC